AGGAUGGCGAUUCGCUGUUUGGUGUCUCGGGUCUGAUCAUGGAGAACGGGAUCCGCAGCACCUCCUGGAAUCCUUUCUGUUCAAACCCAC
Molecule: long non-coding RNA, 90 nt
Filed under: Sinocyclocheilus grahami
Lineage: Eukaryota; Metazoa; Chordata; Actinopteri; Cypriniformes; Cyprinidae
Description: lncRNA (ENSSGRG00000032689.1)
Source: RNAcentral